AACGAACGCUGGCGGCAUGCCUAACACAUGCAAGUCGAACGAGACCUUCGGGUCUAGUGGCGCACGGGUGCGUAACGCGUGGGAACCUGCCCUUAGGUUCGGAAUAACUCCCCGAAAGGGGUGCUAAUACCGGAUAAUGUCUUCGGACCAAAGAUUUAUCGCCUUUGGAUGGGCCCGCGUUGGAUUAGCUAGUUGGUAGGGUAAAAGCCUACCAAGGCGACGAUCCAUAGCUGGUCUGAGAGGAUGAUCAGCCACACUGGGACUGAGACACGGCCCAGACUCCUACGGGAGGCAGCAGUGGGGAAUAUUGGACAAUGGGCGAAAGCCUGAACCAGCAAUGCCGCGUGAGUGAUGAAGGCCUUAGGGUUGUAAAGCUCUUUUACCCGGGAUGAUAAUGACAGUACCGAGAGAAUAAGCUCCGGCUAACUCCGUG
This 433-nucleotide ribosomal RNA is filed under the name uncultured bacterium. RNAcentral's name for it is "partial 16S ribosomal RNA". It matches the Rfam family "Bacterial small subunit ribosomal RNA", at positions 29 to 507 of the family's 1533-position model. The record is from RNAcentral.